CCCUCGCUCCCCUCAGCCCCUCGCUCCCCUCAGCCCCUCACUGCCCUCAGCCCCUCGCUCCCCACACUCCCCUCAGCCCCGCGGCCGCCUCGCCCCUCUCUCCUUGCACGCUCCGCUAGUUGCGCUUCCCCAUCCGUCAGGCUCCAGCUCUGGAAAUCAUGUCUUUUCCUUCAGUGGUGGUGGGGUUUGGGGGGCGUGUGGCACAUUCCUGGUGUUGGGGGCUGCAGGGGCUCGGCUCUCCCGGGCCCAGGAGACAGGUGAAGCCCUCAGUUUGUUGGGUAGCGAAGGCAGGUAGCUCAGGAAGGAGAGUUCACGCUUGUCUCAAGCAGCCACCUGCCGCCCUGGGGACCUGGAGCAGUGGCCCAGGAGGUUGUGCUGCAGUAGACAAGUCCAGAAGUUGGUGUGCUGUCUUUUGAGGCCCCUGGUGUUUUUUUGCGUCUUUGGAGAAACCAAGACUAGGAGCCACAUGAUAGAGGACCUGAAAGCAUAAGCUCAAGUGACAUUGAGGAGAAGCCAUGCAAUUAUCCAACUGUACUGACACCAUUAAGGAGCUUGAGCUGGAUCACAGGACUGGUCAAGCCCUUCAGUCCACUUGAAAACACUUUACAAUUUCUGGCAUAGGUGUGUGAGAAUGAUUUAAUUAUUGAAGCCAUUACUAAAGGGAGGAAUUGAGGAGCUAAAAAUGGGCAGAUGCUGCUUCUGCACCAGAAGGGAGCUGGACUGACAAACACACAGAGCUCAUUGCUGAACUACAGAAGUUAGACGCAAGCUUUGAGGCCAUGUGGUUGAAUCCAAGAUUCAUCCUCCAUCCCUGGACCAGAGACAUCGCCAUGAGCCUUCAUCCUUUGCCUGGUACCAGCCAUGGGGUGAAAUGGCUCCCUGGCUCUUGCACAUGCAAAACAUUUGAAUUUCCUGUUGGCUCAGAGAGUUCUUGAACAGGAGGUGAUCUGACAAAAAGCGUAUUUGCACCACAGAUACCUGAUGUAUUACUUCAUCAGCAAAUUCAACAAGGCCAAGAUGUCUUCAUUUUCCUUCAAAGCAAGAGCUGUAAGAGCAGUGUGGUGGAGGUAUUGGUCUUCUGUGGCCAGGCAGUGAGAGCCCAUCGACAGCUGUGAUGAGCAGAGCAGACACGGGAGACAGGAGGCAGCUGAAGCCAAAGAGGACCCACGCCUGGAGCUGUGUCUGUGUGAUUGGAGCAGAGAGAGGCCAGGACCCAAGGAAAUCCCAGCAGCAAGGGAAAAAAACAGAUUGACUCUCAGUGACUCAUUUAGCUCCUGGAUUGGACAGAUCUCUCCCCUGCUGGCAAUUUGGCUGAGCAUCAAUGGACAGAUACCAGGAUGAAUAGCUUAAAAUAAUUAGGGGUUGGGAAUUUGCAAAACUGCUAGCCAUCCAAUUCUUUACUGUGCAAUGUGAGGCAGAAAAAAGAAAUUACAUUUAGGUUAUUAAAUAUUAAGUCAGUGGAUUUACUUCCAUUUGGUGCAGAACAGGAAACUGGCUAAAAUUCAACAUUUAUAUCAUUGUGUUGAUGGUCUGUUUAUCACUGAGCAAGUAAGUGCUUUUUGGCAGGUCAAGCUCUUUGACACAUGGGGCAAAUGCGUGCUUAAUUUCUCCCAAACAGAAGAAUUAAUAUAAUAAUAAUUAACACAGAUGAGAACAGAAUUAAAAUCAAGUACAGUCAGGAGUUUAGUUUAAUGCGAGGUGUCUCACAUUUUAGAUGUUCUGGGGCCAGAUUUUUCCUGUUGAAGAUAGCAAGGGUUUUGCCUUUGGCACUUCUGGGAGCUGAAGUGCGCCUUACAUGUAAAGAGACAGGAUUCCCUGUACUUUCUAUUAAGUGCACAAAACCAGAAGCAACAGGCUCAUUUAGUAUCAGUAAAGGUCAGUUAAAAUUAUAGAGACAUCCUUUGGAGUAAAUCCUCUGUCUUGCAUUUGCAUAUUUAUGAAUUAGAGAUUACAACAGGCUAUUUCAUUUAUUAGAGCAGCACUGCUAUAGUUAAUAGUCUGUCAGUACUUCCAUUAUAAACCCCGUUUUUCAGUGUUUAAUAUCUCAGCCAUUUAAAAUCACAUCAGGAAGCAAGUCAGUCUUAUGUUGCUGGCCAGGUGCAAUUUUUUGUUAUGGAUUACUUUCAAUAAUGAAAUACUGCUCAUCAUAUAUGCAAAUGAGCCACAGCAUUUCUGUUGGAGGGACAUAGGAAGGUGUGUAGUUUCAUUGUGGCUUUGUUUUUCUUUAGGAAAGAAGGGAAAAGAGGAAUUUGACCAAUCAUGUCAACUGUGGCCUUAUGUUUGAAGAAGAGUUUUUCAAGCAACUGCUCUCAGAGGCAAGGCUGGUUCUCAGUGGGAAAUCAGGUUGCUGUUUGCUUUCCAGUGGUGACCAAGGUAAACAGGCAUGGAUCAUAGUACGUGACGGUAAUAACAUUGCCCAAACAGAGUAUCUUCCAUCUCCCAAGGGACUCAGUCUUCUUCAUAAACAUACAAAUAGGAGACAGAAACCAGGCAUAAAGAGCCCUUCAUUCACUCAUGGCAUAAAACCACCCCAAAACAGACAUGUGACAAUUGCUGAAUCAUGCACUGGAAUAACUGAAGGCAGAGAACCACCAGGAAAGACUUUCUACCUCAUGAAGAAUCACAUGAGAUUAACCAGAAAUGUGACUAGAACUGUGAUAUUUUUAUGACUUACCAGACAUUAGGGCAAUCCUUAAACCAUGGUGAAAACAGAUCCACACAGUGAAUCAGAUCAUUCUUUGAACUUAGCCAGGAAGAUCUAGGUUACAGCCACCAAAUGUCUUGAGCAUUUGAGUUAAUUCUGAUCUCUGCUAAGAUUUACUGUGAAUGUGGUGUGAAAGUCUGCUGCACUCCCAGCCAAAACCUCCCUGCCUGCUCAUCCCUCAUUCCUCCUGUGCUACAUCUGUAGUAACUGACGAGUAUGAAUGUCACUGGGGCCAGCACUACAGAGAUGGUAACUUACGCAGUAUAGACAGAAAACAUGGCACACAGUACUUACUCUUUUUUGAUAUGGUUUCAAGGUGAGAAACCCAGGAGAAGAAUGGAAAGGUGAAAAUUCCAACACCAAAAAGAAACCAAACCAAAGAGCCCUACGCUGUGACUCAUCAUUAAUGUAAAAUGUCAGAGCCUAAAGCUCUGCUUUUUUCAUGUGCCUGGAUGCAGAAGGGUGAGGUGCCCUCUGAGGAUGAUUUUAUCUUUUACUUUUGAGUCUGAAGAUCUUGAAUGUGGUUUGGCAAGUUCAUAAAAAUACUGUGAUGAAGUUGAGUUGAGUUGCCAUCUGGAAAUGAUGCAUACAGAGAUGUAAGAAAGCUUGAGGAGAAAACUGCAAAUGCUGGAAGAAGAAUCAGCAAUGCACAUGAAUGAGGUUAAAAAUUGCAGACAAUUAGCUACAAGAUGACUCCUACUAAAUAAAUCAUCAAAGACUUGACUACUGCUUCCAGGUUUCUACUGCGAUAUUAGCUCAUUGGAACAGUCAAAAAGAUGUUAAUUUGGCCAAAGUUUUAGAAAUGUGCUAUUCUUGUUUGAAUUAACAAAUCAACCAACAAGGCCAAUCUAUACUGUCUUGCCAAGGCUAUAAAGCUUCUAGGGAAGCUAUUAUAUUUAAUGCUCAGGAUCUAGGGCCCCAUGAUAUGCAAAAUAAGCCUCUUUAUGUUAAAUGAGAGCUGAGCAGGGAAGAAAACCUGAUCUUGUCAUGGAAUUUCACAUCUUGUUCCAGCAUUCAGGAAAGUGCUUUGGAUGUCCAAUUUAAUAGAGGAGCACAAUUUUUUUUCCCUGUAUGCCUCCACAGACCAGGCCUUGCUCUGUUCUCAUUUAGUUUAAUCCAAGACUCAAAGUAAAAAGAAAAUAUUCCAAUUGCUCCCAAUAGGCAUCCAAUCAAUCUUGUGCAAUGGUUUUACUUAAAUGUAAAUUCAGUGCUAAGGUCCUCCCAGGAAAAAGAGAGGUAAGUGAUAUGAGUCUGCACACAAACUUUCCACCCUCCUGUUAUUUGCUGCUGAUAGAACCUAUCCUUUGGCUUGGCAAAAACUUCUUAAUUUGUCUGGUCUAUCUGCAGGGUUGACUGGUGUAAAAAAAAUGCUCACCUCGACCUUCUUUAUUGCUACAUCGAGCCAGCUCACUACAGUUGUACUCUUUUCUACUGCUUGAGAUUUACUUGUGUCCCUGGUGUGUUGUGAUAAGCCUCUGAAUGGCAGUGCUGUGAAGGUUUUGCUCUUCCCAAAGACUCUCCUGAGGUUCAG
Melospiza melodia melodia is the source of this 4235-nucleotide long non-coding RNA. RefSeq lists it as uncharacterized. Lineage: Eukaryota; Metazoa; Chordata; Aves; Passeriformes; Passerellidae. The transcript has 11 exons. The record is from RefSeq and is a predicted model, not a curated record.